CGUAGGGUCCGAGCGUUGUCCGGAAUUAUUGGGCGUAAAGGGCUUGUAGGCGGUUCGUCACGUCGGAAGUGAAAACUCAGGGCUUAACCCUGAGCCUGCUUCCGAUACGGGCAAACUAGAGGGAUGCAGGGGAGAACGGAAUUCCUGGUGGAGCGGUGGAAUGCGCAGAUAUCAGGAGGAACACCGGUGGCGAAGGCGGUUCUCUGGGCAUUUCCUGACGCUGAGAAGCGAAAGCGUGGGGAGCAAACAGGCUUAGAUACCCUGGUAGUCCACGCCGUAAACGGUGGGCACUAGGUGUGGGGAACAUUCCACGUUCUCCGUGCCGAAGCUAACGCAUUAAGUGCCCCGCCUGGGGAGUACGGCCGCAAGGCUA
Molecule: ribosomal RNA, 373 nt
Filed under: uncultured organism
Description: bacterial SSU rRNA
Rfam family: Bacterial small subunit ribosomal RNA
Source: RNAcentral